This 385-nucleotide ribosomal RNA is filed under the name uncultured bacterium. RNAcentral's name for it is "bacterial SSU rRNA". It matches the Rfam family "Bacterial small subunit ribosomal RNA", at positions 370 to 772 of the family's 1533-position model. The record is from RNAcentral.
AAUGGGCGCAAGCCUGAUCCAGCAAUGCCGCGUGAGUGAUGAAGGCCUUAGGGUUGUAAAGCUCUUUCGCACGCGACGAUGAUGACGGUAGCGUGAGAAGAAGCCCCGGCUAACUUCGUGCCAGCAGCCGCGGUAAUACGAAGGGGGCUAGCGUUGUUCGGAAUUACUGGGCGUAAAGGGCGCGUAGGCGGCCUGAUAAGUUAGGAGUGAAAGCCCCGGGCUCAACCUGGGAAUUGCUCUUAAUACUGUCAGGCUUGAGUUCCGGAGAGGAUGGUGGAAUUCCCAGUGUAGAGGUGAAAUUCGUAGAUAUUGGGAAGAACACCGGUGGCGAAGGCGGCCAUCUGGACGGACACUGACGCUGAGGCGCGAAAGCGUGGGGAGCAAA